RNAcentral lists this ribosomal RNA (284 nucleotides) under uncultured Pseudomonas sp. RNAcentral describes it as "partial 16S ribosomal RNA". It matches the Rfam family "Bacterial small subunit ribosomal RNA", at positions 1101 to 1382 of the family's 1533-position model. The record is from RNAcentral. Lineage: Bacteria; Pseudomonadati; Pseudomonadota; Gammaproteobacteria; Pseudomonadales; Pseudomonadaceae.
AACCCUUGCCUUAGUUACCAGCACGUUAUGGUGGCACUCUAAGGAGACUGACCCGGUGGACAAACCGGAGGAAGGUGGGGAUGACGUCAAGUCAUCAUGGCCCUUACGGCCUGGGCUACACACGUGCUACAAUGGUCGGUACAAAGGGUUGCCAAGCCGCGAGGUGGAGCUAAUCCCAUAAAACCGAUCGUAGUCCGGAUCGCAGUCUGCAACUCGACUGCGUGAAGUCGGAAUCGCUAGUAAUCGUGAAUCAGAAUGUCACGGUGAAUACGUUCCCGGGCCUU